Non-coding RNA from Podarcis lilfordi (Lilford's wall lizard), 8350 nucleotides. The record is from the annotation of a GenBank genome assembly. Lineage: Eukaryota; Metazoa; Chordata; Lepidosauria; Squamata; Lacertidae.
GACAAAUAUAGUAGCAAGAUUGUAAGUGAAUUUCUCUAGCUGCAUGCUUAACAGGGCUGCCAAUUAUUAUUAUUAUUAUUAUUAUUAUUAUUAUUAUUAUUAUUAGCUCUUGUGCUUUUAAGAAUAGCUUUACCUGCAGUUAUUAGGAGGCAAUAAUCUCCAUGCCUUGAAAAAGAGGGGCGGGGGAUGCAUAAGCAUAUAUCCUAACUAAUUUUGAUUGCAAAAACUCAAAUUGCUUUAUCAUUCAUCUCCCUUCUCAUUAUAUAUGCUUUUGGAUUAGGGGUUACCUACAAAUUUGAUAAAUAAUAUUAAAUAACACAAAACCAGUUCUUUCUCUCCAUUGAAAAAGAUAGGAGCUGCAGGAUCAACAUCUCUGUGCUUCAGUAACCGCCGCCUGGCACAAUGAGGUCUUCUGCCUAAACAAAAGUAAAGAAUGAAGCUGUCCAUGUUUUGGUCCUGUGGAGGAUCCCAUUGGGCAAGGAGGCAAAAGCAGGUUUGCUUAUUUCAGCACUAAGGAGAACUCCUAGUGAGCAACGUUCACCUCUGCUAUACUCCACCUCUGCUAUGCUCCCUUUUGAAGAACUGGCGAGUCUCAUAAAGUUCCACCUCUGAAUAUGGGAAGGGACGCGGGUGGCGCUCUGGGUUAAACCACAGAGCCUAGGACUUGCUGAUCAGAAGGUCGGCGGUUUGAAUCCCCACGACGGGGUGAGCUCCCGUUGCUCGGUCCCUGCUUCUGCCAACCUAGCAGUUCGAAAGCAUGUCAAAGUGCAAGUAGAUAAAUAGGUACCACUCCGGCGGGAAGGUAAACAGCAUUUCCGUGCGCUGCUCUGGUUCGCCAGAAGCAGCUUAGUCAUGGUGGCCACAUGACCCAGAAGCUGUACGCUGGCUCCCUCGGCCAUUAAGCGAGAUGAGCGCCGCAACCCCGUAGUCAGCCAUGACUGGACAUAAUGGUCAGGGGUCCCUUUACCUUUACCUGAAUAUGGGAACUUCUCCAGUGCUCCACAGCCUCCCAUCUAGAGUUCUCCCUGUGCCACUGGACUCAUCAGGUAGUGCAAGUAGCAUGCUCUUGGGCUCAAGAGGAAGGCACCCUCCAUGGGGGUCUUGACUCAAAUUUACAGGGCCUGGUCCAGUGAGAUCUAGUUCAGCAUCCUGACAGUCUUGAGUUUGAUGGUCCUCUGAUCAUCAGCAUCAGUCCCAGAGCCAGGAACUCAGUCUGGCUCACUUACUGGGGACACUGUUGUCUCCAGCUUGGAGUAGUGGUAACUACUGCAUUCUGGGAUCACAAGAAUGUAGUGCAAUGCCCCACCUAGAGUCUUAGAACAGUCAGUGUGAGAUACAGUUCUCCACCCUACUUUAACCCCCAGAAAACAAAUGCUAGGUGCCUGAGUUUUUCGUUUGUUAAGAGGCUUAAGACGAACAAGUGCAGCAUGUGUUCCCACUGUUUCCAGUUCCGCUUCCCUUUAAUCAUUAAAAUAUGAUGUUUGGCUUCAUUUGCUUUUUGAAGAAAUCUAUAACCCCCAAACAAAAAAGCUUUGUGAAUUGUGAAGAACUAAAUUUUAGCGCUUGCCACUUUAUUGAAUUCCAGAGGCAGAACAAGUAAAAUUAAUUGUGUUUCUUUUUGGCUACGGACUUUAGUCAGAGUAGUUCUUAUCGUAAAUUCCAUUAGUAUGCCAUUUGCUGACAAGGCUGACAAAGCGAAGGGAUUAGCUGGAAGGAGGUAGCGGGUUGUUUCUGUUUGAUCAAUAGUUCCCACAGCUACAAUAUCACUUCUGUGCAGUGUUUUUUAAUUCUGCAGAGCUGGAACUUCUAGGAACUUCUAGGAAUUUCCACACAGAACCCUCACUUUACUCUGGGAAAAGAAAACUUAGGGCCCUUCAGAUUUUGCUGGACUUCCAACUUGCAUCAUCUUCGAUCAUUGGCCAUGCUGGCUGGGGCUGAUGGAAGAUGAAAUCCCACAAUAUGUGGAGGGCCACAAAUCCUGCAUCCCAGUCUUACUCCCUGUUAUACUGGCUAGAGUGUUGGACCUGGGAGACCAGGGUACAGGUCCGCACUCAGCCACAAAGCUCACUGCAUGACCUGGGGCCAGUCAUCAUCUCUCAGCCUACUCUACCUCACAGGGUUGCUGUGAGGAAAACACAUUGAAUAUCCUGAAUUUUUGUUCAACUUACUUUUACGUGCAUUUUUAUACAGCUGUUUUAUUGGAUUUAAGUUAUGUUUUUGUUGUAAUUAUUUUGUUUUUGCCAGAGAGAUGAUGAGAUAAAAAACUGCGAAAACAACCCAGCUACAAGGAUGCAAAAGGUUUGGACUGAGAGCAGAUUUCAUUUGGUGAAAGAGAUGGUGGGGGAGGGGAGCCCAUGGUUUGCUUAUUUUUCUCUACAUUUAUGAUACGGCAACCCUUACCGGAAUGCAAAUUUUAUAAAAAAUAUAUCUGCACAAGUGAGGAUGGAAAAAAUUGGAAUAUAAUGUAAUAUGGAAUUUAACAAAAUUGGAACUCUGUGUGUGAGACAAAGGAACUGAGGGGAAAGUGGGGAGGGGAGAAACCCUAUGCUUUGAAAAUAUAGAGCAAAAUCUGCCCUAAUUUCCAUUAUUCUCAAAGGAAUGUGUUUAAGAUAAGGAUAAAUGGCCAUAAAUCAGCGGCAGGGAGGAAAGGAGUCUACCAGUUGUGGGAAUAGAAGAUUAUGGAUUAACUAUUUGCAGUCUGGAUUCAGACUGAAAAAAAUGACGAAGACGGCUUGUUUACUGGAAGCUGAAUCACGGGACCAAGCGAUGCAGGGACUUUUGGAAACUGUGAGGUAACAGCUUCUCCCAGGACAGGACAGGAACCAUCAACACUUGCAGGAAUGAAGGAUACAACAAUAUAUAUGGAUGGGAAAACAUCAUGGAAAAAAUUGUGACACGCAGGAAAGAAUAAGGAUUAUGGCUAAAGUUCCUCACUUGAAACUUUAUAAAUUAUCUAAUAUACCAACACAAAUAGAAAUCACAAGAUUGUAGCUUUUAUAUAAAGGAUUAUUAUAUCUGAAUGGAAUGAAAUGGGAAUUAUUAAAAGUUUGGAACGCAGAAAAAAUGUAGAAGAACGAACUUAUAAACUCUAACAUGCGAGGGGGCCAGUUUAAUUAAAUUGAAUUCCCAAAGGAGGGGGUCAGGCUGUGCCUUGGCCAAAGGCCUGGUGGAACAGCUCUGUCUUGCAGGCCCUGUGGAAAGAUGUCAAGUCCCGCAGGGCCCUAGUCUCUUGUGACAGAGCGUUCCACCAGAUCGGAGCCACAGCCGAAAAAGCCCUGGCUCUGGUUGAGGCCAGCCUAACCUCUCUGUGGCCUGGGACCUCCAAGAUGUUUUUGUUUGAAGACCGUAAGGUCCUCCGUGGGACGUAUCAGGAGAGGCGGUCCCGUAGGUACGAGGGUCCUAGGUCGUAUAGGGCUUUAAAGGUUAAAACCAGCACCUUAAACCUGAUCCUGUACUCCACCAGGAGCCAGUGCAGCUGGUAUAGCACUGGGUGAAUGUGAUCCCGCAGCAAGGACCCCGUAAGGAGUCUCGCCGUGGCAUUCUGCACCCACUGGAGUUUCUGGGUCAGUCUCAAGGGCAGCCCCACGUAGAGCGAGUUACAAUAAUCCAGUCUGGAGGUGACCGUUGCAUGGAUCACAGUGGCUAGGUCAUGGCGAGAGAGGUAAGGAGCCAACUGCUUAGCUUGGCAGAGAUGAAAAAAUGCCACCUUUGUUGUAGCUGCAAUCUGCACCUCCAUGGAAAGGGAGGUGUCGAAGAUUACACCCAAACUCUUAACGGACAGUGCUGGCACUAAUUGCACCCCUGCAAGAAAUGGGAGUUGCCCCCCCAAUCCCAUAUCGUCCUGCCCCAGCCAAAGGACCUCUAUCUUCGAAGGAUUUAACUUCAACCGGCUCCCACGUAACCAUUCAGCCACAGCUUCCAAACAUCUGAUCAGUGUGUCUGGGGCCGAGUCAGGAUGGCCAUCCAUCAACAGCUAGAGUUGGGUGUUAUCAGCAUACUGAUGGCAGCCCAACCCAAAACUCUGGACAAGCUGGGUGAGGGGGCACAUAAAGAUGUUGAAAAGCAUCGGGGAGAGUAUCUCACCCUGCGGCACUCCACACACCAAGGAGUGGCGCGACGACAGUUCCCCCCCAAGCGCCACCCUCUGUCCCCGACCAGAGAGAAACGAGCGCAGCCAUUGAAGGACUGUGCCCUGGAUCCCCACGUUGGCAAGGCGGUGGUCCAGGAGUUCGUGAUCAACCAUGUCGAAGGCUGCUGACAGGUCUAAAAGAAUCAGCAGCCCUGACCCGCCCCGAUCCAGCUGCCUGUAGAGAUCAUCUGUUAGGGCGACCAAAGCUGUCUCGGUCCCAUGACCAGAGCGGAAGCCGGAUUGGAAUGGAUCCAGAGCCGAUGUUUCAUCCAGAAACCCACCAAGCAGUUCAAUUUAAAAAGGUAUCCUAGCAUAGAAGGAUUCUCUUCAACUUGUGGAGGGUGAAAGGGAUUUAGAGCACCUGAAUAGGAUUGUAUUCAUUUGUUAAAUCACUUAUUUCUCAGUAUUAAUCUUCCUGCCUGAGAUGAAUGUUCUCCUUUGGCUUGAUGCCAUUCUGCCAUGUUUUCCAUUAUUUCAUUGCUGAGUUUUAUGUCGAUAAAUCGAUCCCUUAGUGCCUGUUAUACUUUGGUGACUUGCCAUGCUGAUUUAGAACUGUGAUUCUAUAUAAUAAUAAAAAAAGGUGUGGGGGGGAGAACAAGCAAGUCAUUUCUCCAUUCACAGCAUGCCAAGAUCAAUUUAUAGAGGGGCUAAUUGUGUCAUCAUUCAGCCAUGAAGAACUGUGAAUGUAAAGCAUCAAGGAAUGACAGAAGCCUGCAAUACUAUAAUAACUUGAUUUGAUAUUUUAAAUAAUGCUAUGUUCACUCUCUGAAGGCUGAUCGCCGAAGAAUUGAUGCUUUUGAAUUAUGGUGCUGGAGGAGACUCUUGAGAGUCCCAUGGACUGCAAGAAGAUCAAACGUAUCCAUUCUGAAGGAAAUCAGCCCUGAGUGCUCACUGGAACGACAGAUCGUGAAGCUGAGGCUCCAAUACUUUGACCACCUCAUGAGAAGAGAAGACUCCCCGGAAAAGACCCUGAUGUUGGGAAAGAUGGAGGGCACAAGGAGAAGGGGACGACAGAGGACAAGAUGGUUGGACAGUGUUCUCGAAGCUACAAACAUGAGUUUGACCAAACUGCGGGAGGCAGCGGAAGACAGGAGUGCCUGGCUUGCUCUGGUCCAUGGGGACACGAAGAGUCGGACACGACUAAACGACUAAACAACAACAUGUUCACUCUCUAGGAGUAGAGACAGGAGUAAGUGCUGACAAAGUAACAGGAAAUGUCAGAGGCAUAAACACACACAUAUACACACACCAUUCCCCCUGGUUUUUAAACUGGAAACUCUAGAAGAAAUCAAAAUAUGUGCAAUAUUUAUAUAUUUACCAAUACUAAGCUGGAAUCAUGUCAGGCAAUGACAAAACCAAAACCCAGAUACCCUUUCAAUAAGGGAGCAAUCCUACCCACAAUAAGCUGGCAUAUAGAAGCUUGGCAGAGGGGAAACUUACCUAAGUUUUCUAUUUUUCAAAAUUAUUUUUUGUAUAUAAUUUUUAUUAAAUUUUCUGUUUUACAAUUUAAAAUACUUAUUUUAACAUCCUGAAAAUAUCAAUGACUUCCCUUUUUCUCUUUCCAUAGUUCAUUUUACAUAUCACAAAUCCCUACAUAUUUUACAAAAACUAUACCAUUCAGUAUUCCAUUAUUGCAUCCAUCAAAACUUAUUUACUCUGUUGAAUUUAUCUUAAUGCUGCCAGUCUUUUCAGCUGUAAACAAUUAUUUAUCACAUCUCCAAUAAACGUUUUCCAAUCUUCUUUAAAUGUAUGUUCUUCUUGUUCUCUUAUUCUAUAUGCUAAGCCCCAAAAUGGAAAGUGAACGAGGUCCCAACUAAAGAGGAUUGGCAACUCAAGUUGACAGAAUAUGCACAACUUGCAGAUUUAACAUAUAGAAUAAGAGAGCAAGAAGAGCAUACGUUUAAAGAAAAUUGGAAAACGUUUAUUGAGUAUAUGGAAAAUAACCACGUAUAGCUGAAAACGCUGGUAGCAUUAAGAUAAAUUCAACUGAGUAAAUCAUUCUCGAUGAGUGUACAGUAAUAGUGGAAAAUUGAUUUGAAUAGUUAUAGCAAAAUAUGCAGGGAUGUAAGAUAUGCAAGGGACGCAGGUGGCGCUGUGGUCUAAACCACAGAACCUAGGGCUUGCCAAUCAGAAGGUCGGUGGUUCAAAUCCCCGCGGCGGGGUGAGCUCCUGUUGCUCGGUCCCUGCUCCUGCCAACCUAGCAGUUCGAAAGCACGUCAAAGUGCAAGGAGAUAAAUAGGUACCGCUCCAGAGGGAAGGUAAACGGCGUUUCCAUGCGUGGCUCUGGUUUGCCAGAAGCGGCUUAGUCCUGCUGGCCACAUGACCCGGAAGCUGUACGCUGGCUCCCUCAGCCUAUAGAGCGAGAUGAGGGCCGCAACCCCAGAGUCGUCCACAACUGGACCUAAUGGCCAGGGGUCCCUUUACCUUUAAGAUAUGUAAAAUGAACCAUAGAAAGAGAAGAACAGAAGUCAUUGGAUUUUUUAAAAAAUUGUAAAAUGUUUAUUUGAAAUUGUAAAACAGAAAACUUAAUUUUAUUUUUAUAUAUAUAUAUAUAUAUAUAUAUAUAUAUAUAUAUAUAUAUAUGAAUGAGAGAUGUGGCUUCAGAAAUGGGGUUGGGAAGGUGAAGCAUGAGCUUAGGAGCUGCAUGGGGUAGGAAGAUGAAGCUCUAGGGGGUUUAUGUGGGUUUGGGGUUGGUGAGUGGAGUGUGCAGGGAUGCAGCUUCUAACAGUUUCAGGACAUGAUUUCAAUACUGGUUCUCACCACACGACAAUGUAGCCCUCCAUCUGGGCACACAUAAGAGGCUCUGAGGUUCCAUGGCAGUAACUCAAGUGAAUACAGUGGUAGCUCGGGUUACAGACGCUUCAGGUUACAGACUCUGCUAACCCAGAAAUAGUACCUUAGGUUAAGAACUUUGCUUCAUGAUGAGAACAGAAAUCGCACAGUGGCAGCGGGAGGCCCUAUUAGCUAAAGUGGUACCUCAGGUUAAGAACAGUUUCAGGUUAAGAACGGACCUCCGGAACGAAUUAAAUUCUUAACCCAAGGUACCACUGUGUGUGAUUUGAAAUGGGACACUUGUGUAGGCUUGAUGGAGUAUGUAACACUUCUGGUGCUAUGGGACAUGGAAGUUCUGAAAACAUACUGUCGCAAGCAUCUUGGUUGGGCAUGGAAAAUUGCCUAUUCAUAAAAGCAUUUUGGCCGAGAGGUUUUUGCUCAUUGAAGAAAUGGGCUUAAUGGCCUGUGAUGGCUGGUGGCUGCUAGCCACACCACUUGCUGCAAUAUAUGGGUGAGAAGUUGAAGGAAAGAGUUUGGCCAUCUGGAAUGAAGCCAAUGGAGGAAAAGCAAAUGAGUUUUGCAGCUGGACAGGGGUGUGUGUGUGUGGGGGGGGGAUUCAAGGAUGUACCCUUGCUUUGGAGGAAGCAAUAAUAAUUUAUAACCUGCAGUGCCUGUCUGGGCUUGCUUCCCCGCAGAAUCGUUGAGUCUAUUUCUUGAUAAUCCGUUAAUUACAGAAGUUUUCACAAGUUUCUGACAUUCCUAUCUCACAAGGCAUCCUGUAAAAGACUGGCACCAAAUUUAACUCAGGUACAUGGUGAGCUCAAACAAAAAAAGCAAUUGAGUGGGUGAGUGGUCCUGCAAAACAGCUGCCAGACCAGCCAGGGAAAACAAUGUCUUAGAUUUUUAGGUCCCAAAGUGGCUUUACACGAGUGCACUAAAAAGCAGGAAGCUCUUUAGCUUCGCUUCGCUUCACUUUACAAUUUAUAUCCUGCGCUUCUGCAUCUAAGAUGAAGCUCAGUCCAUUGGUCUAUAUAGCGCAGAAUCAUUUCCCCUGGCUGGCAGUGACUCUCCCUUCCUAUGGUUUCCAGCAACUGGUAUUUAUUAUGUAUUGAAACUUAUGACUCUGUAGAAUAAUAUGAAGUUUUUUCUUCUCCAUGAAGGUGCUGCUGUCUGUCAGUGAGAGGCUAGCAGUGAGAUGGCUAUGACGGCUGCUGUAUAAUUACCACCUCAAUCAGCCCUCAGUCUCUGGGUCAGGGAGCAAGAUAUAUUUCCAUGUCACCUAAAUUUAUGGAUUGAAGAAGAAACACAGCUGGGGAUUGGAACUCGGAUCUGUACCACAAUUGCUGCUGAUAGGUGGUGACUUGCCUAUACCUGGGAAUGGUUACUUGUCUUAUCCUCUCUGUGAAAUGGCAUUUGUUAUGAUCAAUGGCGUGCGAGCCUCGAUCCGAG